UACGUAGGGUGCGAGCGUUGUCCGGAAUUAUUGGGCGUAAAGGGCUCGUAGGCGGCCAACUAAGUCAUACGUGAAAUCCCUCAGCUUAACUGGGGAACUGCGUGUGAUACUGGAUGGCUUGGAUUUGGGAGAGGGAUGCGGAAUUCCAGGUGUAGCGGUGAAAUGCGUAGAUAUGCGGAGGAACACCGAUGGCGAAGGCAAUCCCCUGGGCCUGCACUGACGCUCAUGCACGAAAGCGUGGGGAGCAAACAGG
RNAcentral lists this ribosomal RNA (253 nucleotides) under uncultured bacterium. RNAcentral describes it as "partial 16S ribosomal RNA". It matches the Rfam family "Bacterial small subunit ribosomal RNA", at positions 524 to 776 of the family's 1533-position model. The record is from RNAcentral.